GACGAACGCUGGCGGCGUGCUUAACACAUGCAAGUCGAGCGAGAAAGCUCCUUCGGGAGUGAGUAAAGCGGCGAACGGGUGAGUAUCACGUGGGCAACCUGCCCCAAGGAGCGGGACAACCCGGGGAAACCCGGGCUAAUACCGCAUGAUCCGCUAUGGCAUAAGUCGUAGUGGCAAAUGGUAGCUUCGGCCUCCGCCUUGGGAUGGGCCCGCGCCGCAUUAGCUAGUUGGUGAGGUAACGGCUCACCAAGGCAACGAUGCGUAGCUGGUCUGAGAGGACGAUCAGCCACACUGGGACUGAGACACGGCCCAGACUCCUACGGGAGGCAGCAGUGGGGAAUCUUGCGCAAUGGGCGAAAGCCUGACGCAGCAACGCCGCGUGAGGGAAGACGGCUUUCGGGUUGUAAACCUCUUUCAGGAGAGACGAAGCUUCCAGGGUUAAUAGCCCAUGGGGUGACGGUACUUCCAGAAGAAGCCCCGGCUAACUACGUG
This 492-nucleotide ribosomal RNA is filed under the name uncultured bacterium. RNAcentral describes it as "bacterial SSU rRNA". It matches the Rfam family "Bacterial small subunit ribosomal RNA", at positions 28 to 507 of the family's 1533-position model. The record is from RNAcentral.